RNAcentral lists this ribosomal RNA (724 nucleotides) under Pseudomonas sp. Wr1H07. Its description in RNAcentral is "bacterial SSU rRNA". It matches the Rfam family "Bacterial small subunit ribosomal RNA", at positions 35 to 756 of the family's 1533-position model. The record is from RNAcentral. Lineage: Bacteria; Pseudomonadati; Pseudomonadota; Gammaproteobacteria; Pseudomonadales; Pseudomonadaceae.
GCUGGCGGCAGCCUACACAUGCAAGUCGAGCGGUAGAGAGAAGCUUGCUUCUCUUGAGAGCGGCGGACGGGUGAGUAAUGCCUAGGAAUCUGCCUGGUAGUGGGGGAUAACGUUCGGAAACGGACGCUAAUACCGCAUACGUCCUACGGGAGAAAGCAGGGGACCUUCGGGCCUUGCGCUAUCAGAUGAGCCUAGGUCGGAUUAGCUAGUUGGUGAGGUAAUGGCUCACCAAGGCGACGAUCCGUAACUGGUCUGAGAGGAUGAUCAGUCACACUGGAACUGAGACACGGUCCAGACUCCUACGGGAGGCAGCAGUGGGGAAUAUUGGACAAUGGGCGAAAGCCUGAUCCAGCCAUGCCGCGUGUGUGAAGAAGGUCUUCGGAUUGUAAAGCACUUUAAGUUGGGAGGAAGGGUUGUAGAUUAAUACUCUGCAAUUUUGACGUUACCGACAGAAUAAGCACCGGCUAACUCUGUGCCAGCAGCCGCGGUAAUACAGAGGGUGCAAGCGUUAAUCGGAAUUACUGGGCGUAAAGCGCGCGUAGGUGGUUUGUUAAGUUGGAUGUGAAAUCCCCGGGCUCAACCUGGGAACUGCAUUCAAAACUGACUGACUAGAGUAUGGUAGAGGAUGGUGGAAUUUCCUGUGUAGCGGUGAAAUGCGUAGAUAUAGGAAGGCACACCAGUGGCGAAGGCGACCACCUGGACUAAUACUGACACUGAGUAGCGA